This 878-nucleotide long non-coding RNA is filed under the name Hordeum vulgare. Its description in RNAcentral is "long non-coding RNA (HVUL_LNC021518)". Lineage: Eukaryota; Viridiplantae; Streptophyta; Magnoliopsida; Poales; Poaceae. The record is from RNAcentral.
GGCGCUGGGGUUACUCUAUUUCUCGAGCAUCUCUUGUGUUUGUGUGACGGCUUCCCAUGCUCCGGUGGGAGAUGUGUCAUGGGAAACCCAGGGCCAGGUCUAGAGGGUUGGACACCUUGUGCUUCCCGGAGAAAUCAAAUAUAGCCAAGAUGGCAAGAUAUAUAUCUAUAAGUACACCUGUCGGGCAUAGUUGUGCUCCGAACCCAUCUCUUUGAGGCACCCACAAAUUGUACGUGAGAAGAAUUAGGGUGAAAUCCAAAUCCUGAUAAGGAUGAAUUCUAGCACACCACGAUCAAAAGUGAGACAAUUGUUUUUAAUCCGAAUCCAAAUUAUAAAAUAGGAUGGUAAAACAGCAAGAAAAAGAUUCAACAAAAAAUAGUUUUAGGAGGAACCUGAUCUAGAUCACGAAAACAAUUCUAAAGCAGUAAGCCUCUUUACCACCCGAGAUCCAUGGCCCCUCUUGGUUUUCUUAGAUCUAUGCCCACAUUUGCUUUGCAUUAGUUUGAGAGAGAUAAUGGCUUUGAUUUUGUUGCGGGAGAGACAUUAGGGAGAACAAACGACCGUGAAAUAGUUCCAUGAGGAGAGAGAGAGAGAUAAUGGAGAGGAAGGGACGGUGGGCUAGAUAUUAGUUCCAUGGGGGAAAGAGAGAGAUAAUGGAGAAGACGGGAAGUUGGGCUGUAUAUUUGUAUUUCCACAGGGGAGAGAUAGAUGGAUGGAAUACUUUCCAUCGUGGGGAGAGGAAAAAAGAGCAAGGAAGAUUAGGGUGAAAGGAUUCCUAUGGGUUAAUCUCCACCUCACUAAUUCGGCCCAUCAAAUAAACCUUCCGGUUAAUCACCACCGUAAUAAUUCGGCCCCACCAAAUAAACAGCUAUUAAUUU